This 3645-nucleotide long non-coding RNA is filed under the name Solanum tuberosum (potato). RNAcentral's name for it is "long non-coding RNA (STUB_LNC008213)". Lineage: Eukaryota; Viridiplantae; Streptophyta; Magnoliopsida; Solanales; Solanaceae. The record is from RNAcentral.
CAAUUAAAUAUUUUGUCAUUUGACACAUAUCUUCGUUCUACUAGAUUCUAGAAAUUACCCUCUCACUUAAUUUCAUCCCUUCAGGUAUGCUCCUUUAAUCUCUUUUUCCCUUCGUCUUUGAUAUAAAUCUUGUAAUGAGAACUUUUAAAUUGUUAUUGAAUUUUUUUAAUAAGUUGUGGUUAAAACUAAAGGAUAAGUUUUUUAGUGGGAAUAAAAUUGAGACGAAGUAGCAAGCUCGAGAUUGGAUUCAAUGUGUUCGAAUUUGACAUAUAUAGGUGGUUUUACGAAUUAAUAAGAAAAUCAGACUUGGAAUAUAAUUGUGUUUUCAUGGUUUGAGAUGAAACUGUGUGUGUUACUGCUUGCUGAGUAUUUGUGCCGAUAAAAGCAAACGUUCAUCCUGAUUCAUGAGGGAGGAGCUGCUUCAUUUUCUGUGUUUUCAUUUAUUUAUUAAUAAAAAUUGACCAGUUAAAGGUUGAUUAUUGAUGUAUAACCCUUGGAAAUUUUGAUUUCGUUUUUAGGUAUUAGUCAGAUGAAAAUAUAAUUCUCUCUGGUUGUUAAAUAUUUUGACGUGCAAUUUUUAUUUAGGUGUUUGUUCAUAUUGCUCUACUUGUGCAUUAAUUCGUCAUCUAUGCUCUUAUAAUAGUCCCCUUCUUUCCCUCACCAAGUUCUCUAUUUUCAUUGUUUUUCUUUUGAUUUUUCUUUCAAACCUCUUCUUGAAUGGGGUUUAGAAUUAAUCGCAUGAUUCAAAAUAAUAGUUUGACUAGAAUCAAUUCUAUGAUUGAUAUAGCUAAAAUACUAAUUACAGUGUUUGAUACUAAUCUUAACAUAUGUUGUUUUUUUGUGGCGAAACGAAGGCUUACUGGUUAGAAAUGUGUUGAACCUCAACUGUUUUAGUCUUGCUCAUUUUUCUAAAUUUUAACUCCAUUGUCACAAAUUUUUAUUACAAUUAUCAAGCGAUGACGCUUUUUUUCACAUUCCACUCGUUUUUUAAAUUUUUGGUUCAAUUUUGUGAAUAUUGUCUAUCUUAAAUUUACUUUACAACCACAAUAUCCUUGGUAAGUGUUUCUACAUAUGACAUUUAAGAUGAACCAAACUAGCUCUAUAAAAGGCCUAUGGGAAUUAGAAGUCGUGAAUGAGAUUGGACCAAGUUAAAUGUUGGAGUGUUUUAUUUGAGAUCCAAGCUCAAUUAACAUUUGGUUAAAAGGGAGAAUGAGUUUGAAAGAAGAGCUUAUGCAUAUUGAAGAAACGUUUGUUCCUCUCUUCUUCUUCAAGCUUUUCAUCCUACUUCUUAUCUAUAUCCUUACUUAUUGUGGCUUCAGUGUUUUUCGUUGUAAUUCAAUAAUUUUACUGGUGUUGUGAUAAUUUGAUUGUCAAGGACUAUAUAAUAUUUGAAUAGUUGGUGUUGAGAAUUCGAAUUCAUUACAUACACAAAAAAUCAAAGUGUCUUCAACCUUUCUUGAUUUUUUACUGCUACUUGUUGAUAUAGUUUUGGGUUACACCUUCUUUUGGGUAAGAGUUGUAAUUAUUCUUAACUAUUUUUAUUUUAUGUUCCCACAAAUUUAUGACUGUGCUUUAGUGUCUUUGAAAUAUUUCAGGCAAAAUGUUGUGCAUUUGAUUAAUUACUUUACACUGAUUGUUCCUCCAUGCAUUGAAAAAUCACAUGAUAUUACGUGCUUACUGUUUUCAUUUUCUUUGUUUGAUUUCAGAUAUAAAAUGUGAAGUCUGUGAUCAAAGAAGAUAUUUUCAAUGAUACAAAUUAUUGGAUCUGUUAUGAAGCUCCAAAUGUCUAGAAGGUAUGCAAGGUUCUUAUAUAUAUAUUGAUGAAGCGAAAGAAAAUGUGUUGGUUGGGAAUCAUAGGAUGAACAUCUUGGUUUUGGAUCUACCCAGGUUAAAGAAAUGUUGGACCAUUUUAAAGGUUUGCUUGCAAGUGAAACUGUAGCAAUGAAGAGUGAGUAGGUCAUUGUAUAAGUCAAGCCUGAGGUGUGUGAUCUCUAUCUUUAAAAUUUUCACCAGUUCAUGGUUAGUUUCACUAUACCCUGAACUAAAAGAAGAAGGAUUUCAGCUAGAUCAUAAGUCUCUUCACACAUCCGCUAUACCUAAGUUUCUAUAACAUGGAAGUUGUUUGUCUUACUAACUUUUGUGAUGACAAUGAAUUACCUAGGAUUGGAAAUUCCAACUCUGUUACUUAUGUCAAUGAAGAAGUCUUGGGUCAAAAAUGAAGAAUGGGUGGUUCACAUUAAUGCAAAAAUCUUGGUAAUUAUUAAUUUUUUUUUUUUGUUGAGUUCAUAAUUUUCAGGUUAACUUCAACCCUGUCAGUGUCAAUUCAAUCAAGAAAACACUUGCAUCUAUAUGCAAAAAGGAGCAGAGUCAAAGUGAGUGGAGGUGAUAUCAGACAUGCAAUUAAUUUUCUACAGUAUCUUUGUCUUAAAUCACAUAUAAUGCCUAUUCUAUCGUCAAAAGAAAGACUGGAUAAUGUUAGUUGUUUGGAUGGUGUGUUCUGUUUGUCAUUCGACUAGAUAACGUUAGUUGUUUGGAUGAUGCGUUCUCUUUUCCAUUUGGAAAAGAUGAAACUCCCUCUCUAUUUUAUGCAUUAGGCAAAUUUCUACACAACAAAAGAGAGUGAGCACACUAUUGCAUCUGGUACAUCUGACUAAACUUCAUUCUCAAGUUACAGUGAGUUGCAAGUGCUUCCAAAACUUAGUAACACUGUUUUUGUACGUCUUCUGUAGUACUGAUAAAUUACUCCACCUUUGCAAGUAAUGCUUCCUCAUGAAAGAUGCAUAUCUUAGCAUCUAUGUGAUCUAAUCAUGCAAUAUUGGGUUGUUAUUUAUGAUCCACAUAUCCAACACUUUAUGUUCAAAGAGUUUUUCAAUUGCUAAAUGUGGUUUCAUUACCUGUAGACAGGGGCAGAGCUACAGUGUUAAAUGGGGGUUUGGAUGAAUCCAUUGACUUUUACGUAGAUCCUAUAUAUGUACUAAAAAUCAUGUACAAAUAUAUUUAAAUAUUGCGUGCAAACCCACAUCAAACUAAGGUGGGUGGCAUAGUGGUAAGCGUGGGCAGCUCUGAUUUUUUGGAUGGGGGUUCGAGCCCCACUGGCAACUAUUCAAUUUUUUUGUUUUGGAUUAAAAAUGUGCUUUGUGCCUAUCUUUUACCCUCCUUUAAUUCAAUUUUUUCUAUAUAGAUUUUUCUAAAUUCUUCUUCAAACAAAAACAGAAAAUUGAUAAUUGGAAAUAAUAAAAAAAUAGUGUCAUACUUCAAAACAAACAUCUGACUAUUAAUUCAAAAUAGAUAAUUGUAAGUAACAAAAAUAUAGUGUCGUAUUCUACAACAUCUCACUAUUGAUUUCUUUUGAAGCAUUCAAUAAAACAUUAAACCCAUUUUAUUUUAUUUUAAAUUUAGGAUUCUAAUUUUUACUACCUACUUCAUUGCUACUGCUUGUUGUCAAAGUGCAGACCUCUGCCCCGGUAAGUACUAUUUACUCUUCUCAGUUCCUCCUCGGCUCUCCCUUUUCUCUCUUUUUUUUUAUUUGUCUUUACAUUGUAUAACAAUUUAUUUAAAGAUCUUAUUUUUAAUCUUUGAUUUUAUGACUGUUCCACGUAUUAAUAAUGGAUUAUAUUAAUUAAGUUAUUGUUUGCUUCUCGGAAC